RNAcentral lists this long non-coding RNA (1733 nucleotides) under Nicotiana tabacum (common tobacco). Its description in RNAcentral is "long non-coding RNA (NTAB_LNC017488)". Lineage: Eukaryota; Viridiplantae; Streptophyta; Magnoliopsida; Solanales; Solanaceae. The record is from RNAcentral.
UUCCCAAGACCCAAACAACGCCUUCACUAUUCACUAUCUUCCUCACCCAAAAUCCGUUCCCAAACCCGCCAAAUUUCAGACGAGUGAGCCCAAACUCACUUCACGCACCCCUUAUCUCACCACGUCACCAAAGAUUCUAACGGUUUCUGAUAAUUAUUUCACCCCAUGUGCUGGACUCGUUGGAAUUUCAGAGGAAUAAAUUCCGAAAAAUGGGAGUCGUGGAUUGAUUUGAGGAUCAAUUCUCUCCUUCCAUCUGUCAGGAUUUGUUCUGAAAAAGAUUUUUCGGUUUUUGUUUGCGUGAAGAAGGGAAUAGAGGCUUUGAUUUUUAAAAGUUUUAUAUAUAAGGUAAGUUUUUUUUUUAAGAGUGGGGAGAAAAAAUUUCGGGUAAAAAUUUCUAGGGUCCUUGAGCUCUUUUUGGGAUUCCUUCAAGUUUUUCGGCCUUUUUUCAGAAAACACACAAAAAGCAAAAAUAGUUUGAGUUCGAUUUCAUUCAAGUUUUACUUCAUUUAAAAAAAAUCAACAAAAACUCACCAAAAAUAGAAUUUCUUUUUCAGCAUUUUUUCUUUCUCUUGAUUUCUGUUUCUCAAAAAAUGGAGUUUGAUUAAAGUUUGAGUUGGAGUUUGUGUUUUAAGUUCUAAAUCUCGGUGCCAUUUCAAAUUUCUGUAUAAGCUUCUAAUUUCUACUUGAUUUUGUUAUGGUUGUGCUGAUAUUAGCCAUUGGAUUUCGCUUGUAUUCAACAUUCGAGCAAAGUUAAUCGGAAGUGUUUACUGAUUCAGGUUCAUUUCUAAUCUCAUGUAGCCUAUCUUUGGUGUUUAUUUAAAAAAUGUAUUGAGAGCUUGAGUCCAGUUGGUUUAGAACUGUUUAAAUCUUGGUGACUGUUGGUCGUAAUGUGUUUGUUUGCCAUUUUCACAAGUAUUUCUGGUUUGGUUUGCUGUGUAUAUUUUAAAAUGAGUUCUCUGAAAUUGUUAUUUGGUGUUCUCUGUCCGUCAUUGGUUUGGUUAGUUUCGUUUAGUUUCUAAAAACUGUACGAAUCUUCGAAUCUUAAUCGAGUCAAUCCCAGUGGUUUGUGUGUGCUUAAUUCGUCAUUCGAUCAUGAUCUAUCUGAUGUCGCAAUUUGAUUUGGACCUGCAUAAUCCCCUGCCCUGUUUUACCUCCAUGACUGGAUGACAAUCACUCCCUUUUUUUUUGGAUUGAAUCUGCCAAUUAGCAAGUUUAGAUUAGUGUGGUUCUAUUUUCUGCUUUUCGAGUCCAAGCCGUAAAUUUACAAAACAAUUGCUGGCUGUUUUCUUGUGUUAAAAGACUGAGAAUGAAUGUGAAUAUUAUCCAUCCGACAUCAUGUCCAUGUGUUUGUUAUGCUCUGCUUUAAGAUUAUAAUGCAAUUUGAAGGAUUAUUUCAUGAAUUUUCUGCUGAAACUUUAUUCGUGUGUGUUUACGAGUUCAAGCUAGGAUUUACUUUAAAAAAUUGAAAUCUGGUAUUGUUGAAUCCAGUGACUUAAGCCUACUGCUUAUGUAUUUUAACCCCUUCCCCCCUCUCUGGUUGUGAGCAGUUGAAUAGAGCAUCUAUUUGAUGCACUUGUUGGAUGCCAAAUAAUACUUUUUCCUUACUGAUCAUUUUCCAUGAGUCCAAGCUGAUCAUGUUCUAUUCAUAUUGUGCUUUAGUUGCAACAAAUUUCUUUGGUACUUGAGAAUAGCUGGAAUGCAUUCUGUCAGUAAUGUUAAGGCCCAGGCUUUGG